CAGCAGUAGCCGCGGUAAUACAGAGGGUGCGAGCGUUAAUCGGAUUUACUGGGCGUAAAGCGUGCGUAGGCGGCUUCUUAAGUCGGAUGUGAAAUCCCUGAGCUUAACUUAGGAAUUGCAUUCGAUACUGGGAAGCUAGAGUAUGGGAGAGGAUGGUAGAAUUCCAGGUGUAGCGGUGAAAUGUGUAGAGAUCUGGAGGAAUACCGAUGGCGAAGGCAGCCAUCUGGCCUAAUACUGACGCUGAGGUACGAAAGCAUGGGGAGCAAACAGGAUUAGAGACCCCCGUAGUCCCUGUCUCUUAUAC
Molecule: ribosomal RNA, 304 nt
Filed under: uncultured bacterium
Lineage: Bacteria
Description: partial 16S ribosomal RNA
Rfam family: Bacterial small subunit ribosomal RNA
Source: RNAcentral